GACGUAGGGUGCGAGCGUUGUCCGGAUUUAUUGGGCGUAAAGGGCGCGUAGGCGGUCAGCACAAGUCAGUUGUGAAAUCUCCGGGCUUAACUCGGAAAGGUCAACUGAUACUGUGCGACUAGAGUGCGGAAGGGGCAACUGGAAUUCUCGGUGUAGCGGUGAAAUGCGUAGAUAUCGAGAGGAACACCUGCGGCGAAGGCGGGUUGCUGGGCCGACACUGACGCUGAUGCGCGAAAGCCAGGGGAGCAAACGGG
This 254-nucleotide ribosomal RNA is filed under the name uncultured bacterium. RNAcentral's name for it is "partial 16S ribosomal RNA". It matches the Rfam family "Bacterial small subunit ribosomal RNA", at positions 524 to 776 of the family's 1533-position model. The record is from RNAcentral.